Molecule: long non-coding RNA, 788 nt
Organism: Triticum dicoccoides
Lineage: Eukaryota; Viridiplantae; Streptophyta; Magnoliopsida; Poales; Poaceae
Exons: 3
Source: RefSeq, a predicted model, not a curated record
UGAAUUUUAUGGUAUGAAAAUUAUCCUUUUUUUACUGCAUCCACUGUGCUGACCAAUUGGUUGUAUAUUUUUAGACGCUACAAAUGGUGUAGCUGAAUUAAUGGGUAACAAAGAUCUGGAAAGUGAAGAAUCGCAGGGUAACCAUGGGCCUUUCCGCUACCUCAAAGACUAGUAAGCCCGAAAAUCCAACUCGAUUAGUUGAUGAAAAUCUGGAAAGUGAAGUGCAAGGACAUGAACAGGGAGGGAAGGAAAACAAGCCACCAACUAUGGAUAAACUAUUUUAUCUCAGUUGAAUCCUGGUCUUUCAAAUGAUGAAGUCAUGCAAAAAUGUGAUACAUCUAAGUGGCAUGGUCACAUAGUUGGCUUUGGUGGUGGAAUUAGAGCAAGAGGUUUGCGAGGACGAGCAUUGAGUAAGGCUGAAUUGGUUUCUAAACUUCAAGCUUCUGAGAAAGCAAAACAAGUACUCGAAGAAAAGGUCAAUGCAUGGUGCAAGAAGUGUCAGAAAUCCAGUGUCUUCUGUCCUGUAGAUCUCUAAGUGAUGGUUCUCAUGAACGCCAAAAUGAUCAAGACUGAUGGUCCACCGUAAUAUAUAGAAGCACAAGGAGGCAUUGUAAUCGCCGAUGAAGAUCAAACAACGAUGGUGUCCCUCGAUUGAAGAUUAAUAAAUAUUAUCAAUUAUCUUUUCUAGUUGUCUCGUUUUGUAGAUAGAUAUGAUCAAGUGCAUUGGUAAUAUAAGGAGUGCUUUUAACUCAAAUUUCGUACAUGAUAUUUUAACUUCAGAAUUGUAU